Hemicordylus capensis (graceful crag lizard) is the source of this 2394-nucleotide long non-coding RNA. RefSeq lists it as uncharacterized. Lineage: Eukaryota; Metazoa; Chordata; Lepidosauria; Squamata; Cordylidae. The transcript has 2 exons. The record is from RefSeq and is a predicted model, not a curated record.
UUGAAAAAAACCCCGUUUCUGACACUUUCGCCAUAGCAAGGCGGAAGAAUCUCAUGUUUAAAUAAUUAAUAAUUAUAAUAACAAGGUGAGAAAGCACAUUCCGGGCCGUAAUCUGGAGCAAGGGCCGUAUAAAUAAUUUGAUAAGAAACCAACGGAAUUGAAAUAACAACUGUCGCUAAGUCCGCCCCACAAGGGCUCGAACAAGGCCACCGAGCCUCACACCACCUGCAGUGCCAUGGCUUCUCCAUCCAACUGGUGUUUGAUCUGGGAGAGUUCCUCCAGUUCUUGCUGGUGCCGGUCAGUUUUGUGGCCUACCAGAGACCGGUAGAAGUGCAAAGCAAAGAUGAUGAAGACCACACCGACCGGGACCAUGAUAAUGGUGGAGGCCAUGGCAGCAUUCCAACCGGGGCUGUCCUGCAAGGUGGUUGCCUCAGUGGUGUUCCCAGCGCCGGGGACCGGAGUGGGCGUGCAGCACUUCCUGGAGGAGGGGACGCUGCCAACGGGCAUAAACUUGACCCAGCAGAUCAGCACCACCUCGGUAAGGAAGAGGAAGAUCCCCAAGGCCGUGGAGAAGCCCCAGGCGAGCUCGAUGUAGCGGUGCAUGCGUUCGUGGGGCGACUCGUUGACCGAGUUGAGGUUGUGGAUGUUGCUGACGGCCUCAAUGUUCGGCAAGAUGCAGGUGCUUACCAUGAGGGCAAAGAGGUGGACGGCCACCAGGACGGUGGUGCAGGCACUGAAGGCAACCAGCAGCUCCCGUGGGUAGUCAUAAUCCUCUAGCUGCACCUCCACCAUGGCCACCUGACAAAGCACAGGAUUAUCACUCAUUACUUAAACACUGACAGAUACCUAACAUGUAUGUUAUUCCGUGAUCCCAAGCAACAAGAAGUUCUAGGGACAACACAACUGCGUUUAGUUUCCUUUGGAGGAGAGCACACUAGAGACUCAACAGUACCGUUGGCAACAAUUGCUUUAUUGACAAAUGUGACAGCAGAGCAUAGGGGGAAGCAAACAGGCACUCCGCACUCCAACAACAGGCAGCUAAUCCUGCUGCAGACAUCAGGUACCCAAGAAGCAACUUGUGCACCGACCUCCAUGCCUCCCACAAGAUUGCAUCCCAGUUUCUAGCUAACUCCAGUGAGAAACUCAAGCCUGAUUCAGACAUUAUAUUGUACAAAUGUACGGUUGUCUUACACUUGUAGAUGUGAUUGUGUGAAUGACUGUACCUGUGUUCAUUUUAAAAGUGAACUUGGAUACAGGCCCUUCAAAUGCAUGUUUCAGAUAGGAACUGCACUUCUGUACCUGUGUUCAACAUAACAUGUAAAUGACUGUACUGUGUACAGAUCUGUACCUGUGUACACUGUACACUCAUUGCACAAGCGGUGAACAGAUCAUGUGAAUGGACUUUCGGUCCAUUCACUUUUCUUUCUCUGUUCGAAACUGUUCACUGCCACUUAGCCACUGUACUCUCACUUACUCAUUAUUAUUUAUUUUUAAAAUCCAUAUCCCACCUUUCUUAUAAAAUUCAAAACUGCUAUUAUGCCCAUAUUGCAGAUGGGGUGGCUGAGGCCAAGGUAUCUUAGCGGCAUUUCAGUUUGAUUAGUGCUUCCAAGCAAGAGUAGCAUUAAUGAAUGCCAAACAAAUAUGGGUUGCCCUGUAGAGAAUUGGGCUGGGUGGGCCGAGCAUUUCUCCUCCUCUCGUGGACAGGAGGCCCUUGGGAAAUCCCACCAGGACCUCAGCGCUCAUCCCACCAUCAACUUGAGACUGGACCAGUCCAAGUAGCAGAUUUAUUUUCUGGAUCUUCCCAUACAACUAGACCAUGGGUUUCCAACCUUCAGCCGCCUGAUGCUGUUGGACUACGAUUCUGAUCAGCCGGGCACAAUGGCCUAGGAGAUCUUCUUUGGAGGCUCUUCUCUGCGGAGUAUUACUGCCCACAAUGGUGCAACAGGCGACCACCAAAGAGAGAGACUUUUCAAUAGCCACUCCGCCUCCCACCUGUGGAAUGCCCUCUCUAGAGAGAUCUGCCUGGCAACCUCUUUGUACAGAUUUAGGGACCAGGCAAAAACCUUCUUGUUCUGCCAAGCAUUCAACGUGUAAUCUGUGGUUUAUACUGGCUGGCUGUGAGCUUUUCUCGUUUGAUUGGCUUCAUUGGUUGUUUUAUCACUCUGUUCGGCCUGGCCUUCCAAGGUUUUUUAAUUGUUUUAAAGGGUUCUUGAUGUAUUGGUUUUUUAAAUAAGAUUUUAAAUUGUUUCUUUUUUAGCCGUCGUAUUUUAAAAAAGUUUCUGGUUUUGAUUAUUGAUUGAUUUUAACUGUUUUGUGGCAUUUGUAAACCGCCCUGAGUUAUUCUGUAAGGGUGGUCUAGAAAUCGAAUAAAUAAUAAUAAAUAAUAAUAAUUUA